CCUACGGGUGGCAGCAGUAGGGAAUAUUCCACAAUGGGCGAAAGCCUGAUGGAGCAACGCCGCGUGGGUGAAGAAGGUCUUCGGAUCGUAAAACCCUGUUGUUAGAGAAGAAAGUGUGUGAGAGUAACUGUUCACGUUUCGACGGUAUCAAACCAGAAAGCCACGGCUAACUACGUGCCAGCAGCCGCGGUAAUACGUAGGUGGCAAGCGUUAUCCGGAUUUAUUGGGCGUAAAGGGAGCGCAGGCGGUCGUUUAAGUCUGAUGGGAAGGCCGUCGGCUUAACCGGCGUAGUGCAGUGGAAACUGGAUGACUUGAGUGCAGAAGAGGAGAGUGGAACUCCAUGUGUAGCGGUGAAAUGCGUAGAUA
Molecule: ribosomal RNA, 366 nt
Filed under: uncultured bacterium
Lineage: Bacteria
Description: partial 16S ribosomal RNA
Rfam family: Bacterial small subunit ribosomal RNA
Source: RNAcentral